GCCGCUUCGGUCACACAAAGGUUUGUCCCUCGGCGCCUCCUUUGAGCAAAGCUCCACGUCCCCAGCUAUCCCACCCACUCUAAUGGGAUCCCAGCUUUGGGGACCCUUGAGGCCUGAAGCCAAACAUCUGUCUACAGGAUAAAACUACAGGAAGAAAUGAAGUAUGUAGACCUAAUUUACAGAAUGUUCUGCAGACAAAUCAGAAGUUAAAACCGAACAAGAGAGUUCCUGGAACAUCAAAAACUCAAAUGAAGAUUUGAAUAAUGUAUAAGUCAAGCGGAGGUUGAAGCUGAUCUGCAUCCAGGUGCUGUGGGACUUGCUGGGGGAGGCCAUCAAGGUAAGUGUGGGGCUAUCACAGUGAAGGCCAAUAUUUCAACACCAGAGUAGCAUAAUCAGCAACAUUAAUUAAUUUUGUGUUCUUCAUGCAAGCCUCAGCUAAGAACGCUACCGGCGUCUACUAGUAUUAAUAAUAGGCAUACUAAGUGUUAUUAGUAUUAAUAUUUUAAUUGUUAGUGUUAACACUGGUAGUGAGUGUGUUAGCUGGUGUUUACUGUGAAGCUCUGCUCUCCCACAGUAUGACAAGAGCCUGAAGCUGACCUCUUUCCAAACAGUGGCAAGCCUUGGAGAUUUUUUAAAUUUGUUUUUUUAGGGAAGCAAUGCGCAGUUGUGUUCACAGUAACUAGGCUGCAAUCACCAAGUGGCCAGAUUUCUUGGCUUGUGUAGCCAACUGGCUGGGGAGUGACCGUUUUUUAUCACAAGAAUGAGGUUCAAUGCUAAAAAUUUGAAGCGAAAACAUGACUGUAGUUUGUUCGGGAAUCUGAGUGCAUGCGUCUUUGCAUCUGUAAGGGCAGUGAGCAGUGCAGCCUCACAGCUUCAUGUCCAUAUUUGUGCAUGCUCUAUCAAGCAUACUUUCCACUGCCUUCAAUGAGACAAACUCCUUCCUCCUCCUCUGUCGUGCAGAAGAGAUGCAUGACAAAAUUGCAUGUUGUAACAGAGAAAAGGAAACGCAAUUAUUUGAAUAAUAAAAUGUUUGCUUCAUCUAAAGAUUUAUUUUACCACACAUAUUAAUAUCUGACUUCCCCACUUUGCUGUCUUGGGUAUAAUUAACACUUAUACCACCAGAGUGUCUGGAUAUAAGGCAAGUGAAUAUUAAAACAUAAGUUGUGUCCAAAAUGUUCCAGUUUCUAUCCCUUGAAUUAUCCUCAUGUGACUUGUUCUGUGCCAGUAUUAGUAACCAUUGCUCAUGGCUUUCAAACAACUCAAACUUCUUUCACAGAUUACAUUCCUGCUCUUCAUAACUUAGAUCAACAGUGAAAUGCGAAUUAUUGGACUCAAAGAACCCAGGCAGAAACCCAUGUUUCUCAGGCUUUGUUUAUAUAAAACACAGCACCAAGCAGUGUUCCUCUCUCUGCAGAAGCCUUACUCACCCAUGCAGAAAGCACACACCCUUCCUAACCAUGGCUUUCAUCCUGCCCUAGAGAACUGAAGGACUCCAGUAAUAAGCUGACCUCUGCUGCUCCCACUUUCCUGAACUGCAGUUUUAAAUUUGUCUAAAUUUCAAUCUCCUUGUUCUAGGUCUCAAUGUCCUGCAAGAAACCACGCUAAUACUUGAAACCAUACUAAUAUUUAAGUUUUGCUUCACAGAUCCCUAAUUUCAAAUCCAGUCCUACUGGUUAUCAUAUCCAAAACCUUGUCAAUGUUCCCUACCAUUCACUACUCUCAGGAAGGAUCAUCCACAACCUGUCAGGAUUCUUUAAGGAUAUUUUCUACAUUAAUCUUUCUUUAUCUUAAACAUAAUGUUAGCCAAUAAACAAAAUAAACCCCCACCAACCCAGACACCCUAAAAAUUAAGUUUUGAGAGAACCACACAGCUCACUACAAAUAGUAGCUCAUACAUGAUUCCUGCAGAACUUAGUAGGUCCACCUAUUAACUUGCUUGUGUAGCCUCCCCUUUCCUAGACCAUAACAUUCAAGAUCAGGAUGUUUUUUUUAAAUACAAUACCAAUAAGUUAUAUUGAGUUCAUACCAAAAUGAGUGGCUUGUCUCAUAUCAAAGUUUGCUGGUUUCCCUUAAUUUUUGAAGAAAAUAACAUAAAACCAAGACCUUAGCCCUCUUUUACUGGACCUGUGAUCAUAAACCACCUAAGAGCAUUCCUGACAGUGAAUGGUCUUGCAUCCUUAGCCCAGUCACUGUUUUCUAGAUCAAGAGAUCUAGUCCUGAAACUGUUGGUCUACUGUUCCAAUUGCAACUAGCCAGAAGCUGUAAAUCCUUACUACCACCAGCCCUCAUCCUAGACACACCCUACUGACAAGAUCCUGCAGUAAAUGUAUUUGUCCGGCUCUUCCUCUCCUGAGCCCUAGCCCCCACUGUAGCCAUACAGCUCAUCCCUGCCACUCCAGAGCAUCAGCCAUAAUUGUAACCUCAACUGGAAUCAGUCCUCUCCUCCACAGAAUUAAUCACCUGCAGACUAAUCAUCUCUCCACUGCUAGAUGGAAAAACCUAUGAAAUUUGGCUUACUGGACAGCAAAAAUGCCAAUACAGGAAAACUGUCUUCCAGUGAUAUGUUCCUUUUUCCUCAACUGUUGCUUGAAAACCAUUUUUAAAGGUACUGCUGUCAGUUUUAACUGUUUUUGUUUGAAGAAAUUAGUUUCGUUUUAGUGUAGUUUGUCAAUGCUUUUACUAACCAUGGCUAACAGAAAAUCUUUAUUUGCAGCUUAAUAGCAAAAGGAAAAAUACAUGAAGGCUUCUUCAAUAUCAGAAAUGCUGUGCAAGGACAAAUACACUGUCUCCAGCAAAUAUGCAAAUGCUUUACCAGAUCUAAGCUGUAUAGAGCUUUGCUGGAUGGGAUUUUUAUCUUUGUCUUUAAUUACACUUGUAUGUGUUGGAAGAUAUUUUCACUUACUGCAAAAAAGAUUUACUAAAUUUAUUAAAUUAUAUUCUCUCUUUUCCUCUCUCAAAUUCUCACUCUUCUAAUCCAGUGGUAGUUUUAAAAGUAUAAUCCUCAUUAAUUUUAAUAGGUUCUGAAAGAUACUGUAUACCAGUACCUUAUAAAACUUACAGCAUGACAAAAUAAUGUUCAUGAACAAUGUCCAAAUUGUUCAUGAUUCAAUGUCUAGAAUUUACAUGAACACUUCGCUCUAUAGAUAAAUUUCUUCAACAGCAAUUGCCUGGAUUUUUCCACAGGUCUUCCUAAACAUUUCUUUUUUGGUAAUGCAAGAAGUCAUUCCCCAAGAGCAGUAUUUUGUUCCCCUUCAAGUCAAAUAUUAAAAAUUUCUUGAGUUUCUUGGGAACAAGAGCAUUGUAAAAAUAAAAUCCCUUCUCUGAUAACCUCUGAUUUUUUUUUUUUUUCUCAGAAAGCAAACACAACAAAGAUGACCUUUUCAACAGUUCCAUUUCUGUCCUUAGGGUGUAACUCUAAGAGUGUUCUUUGUUUAGUGCAAGAACAGCUCAAGGAUCUGUGAAGGCAGGUUAUGUCAUCUCAUGCUCCCUCUGGACUGCCCUGAGGCAAAGUUGUCCCUUUCUAGUGAUGGUUUACAGCUGUUUCCGGGUGUUUCUGGGCAUUGGUAUAGCACAGGAGCCUCCAGAUAAGUAAGGAAAAAAGUUGAUUAGUCUUACACUGCAUCACAGCAGGGGCAACUCUUUUUUGAACUCUCAUAAUUUCUCAUCAGCCCUGGUAUACUGCUAUGGUUACCACAGAAGAGGCUGUAAGUCUGCUCUUAAUCCCUGUGAAUCCUUCCUGAGGAUGGGAGGAAAUGGGGCUGCCACAGAGGAAGGUCGAAUGAAGAACUAAACUUGUAUCCCAGCCACAUAUCAAGUGUGUAAGUCAAAAAAGAAUUAAAAUCAUUAUACAGAUUCAGAAAUCAGACCAUGCUUGAGCCUCUCUAGCUAUGAAUUUUCAGGUCUGUGCAGAGACCCAUAAGAGACUUUGUGGCCCAAGCUUUGCAGGAGGGAGGCGAAUGUUUAAAUUUUCUGGAUCUCACUUUAGGUAAAAUGAGCAAUCUGUUGUGGUGAAUGUUGCCUGUGUGCCAUGUCAUUCUCCUCAUCUGCUGUUUGCUCUUGUAGUUAAACAAGGCUCUGCAGGACAUUUCCUAGUUACCUUGCUCUGCUGGCACUGAGCUGGGUGGCCAUGCUGGGCUCAACAAACACCACUGGAAUUGGAGAUCCACUGUUCAUUUGGGCAUGUGAGCAGAGUGAGGGACAGAACCACCCAAACACAACCCAUGCCUAUGAAAAGCCACUGUCAGCCUUUCUAGAAUAUCUCUGCAAGGAUCUCUGCUUGAAUAAAUGCUGCUCAUCAGGUUGUCUCUUUAGACAGAAGCUGAAAGAGAAAGGGAUGUCUGCUUGUAUAGGCAUAUACUGCAUUUUUCUUGUUUUA
Taeniopygia guttata (zebra finch) is the source of this 4375-nucleotide non-coding RNA. NCBI's taxonomy places the organism in Eukaryota, Metazoa, Chordata, Aves, Passeriformes, Estrildidae. The record is from RefSeq and is a predicted model, not a curated record.